GAUGAAGAACGCAGCGAAAUGCGAUAAGUAGUGUGAAUUGCAGAAUUCAGUGAAUCAUCGAAUCUUUGAACGCACAUUGCGCCCGCUGGUAUUCCGGCGGGCAUGCCUGUUCGAGCGUCAUUUCAACCCUCAAGCCCCCGGGUUUGGUGUUGGGGAUCGGCUCUGCCCUUCUGGGCGGUGCCGCCCCCGAAAUACAUUGGCGGUCUCGCUGCAGCCUCCAUUGCGUAGUAGCUAACACCUCGCAACUGGAACGCGGCGCGGCCAUGCCGUAAAACCCCAACUUCUGAAUGUUGACCUCGGAUCAGGUAGGAAUACCCGCUGAACUUAAGCAUAUCAAUAAGCGGAGGA
This 348-nucleotide unclassified non-coding RNA is filed under the name soil metagenome. RNAcentral's name for it is "partial contains 5.8S ribosomal RNA, internal transcribed spacer 2, and large subunit ribosomal RNA". The stretch from base 1 to 120 matches the Rfam family "5.8S ribosomal RNA", at positions 35 to 154 of the family's 154-position model. The record is from RNAcentral.